CAAUAGCGUAUAUUAAAGUUGUUGCAGUUAAAAAGCUCGUAGUUGGAUUUGUGGCGUACGGUGUGUUCCGGGCACUUGUUGUCUGAGUAACCUGCUGUUGCCAUCCUUGGGUGGAACCUGUGUGGCAUUAGGUUGUCGUGCAGGGGAUGCCCAUCAUUUACUGUGAAAAAAGUAGAGUGUUCAAAGCAGGCUUAUGCCGUUGAAUAUAUUAGCAUGGAAUAAUGAGAUAGGACUUUUUUGCUAUUUUGUUGGUUUGCGCAAGAAGGUAAUGAUUAAUAGGGACAGUUGGGGGUAUUCGUAUUCCAUUGUCAGAGGUGAAAUUCUUGGAUUUUUGGAAGACGAACUACUGCGAAAGCAUUUACCAAGGAUGUUUUCAUUAA
Molecule: ribosomal RNA, 380 nt
Filed under: uncultured eukaryote
Lineage: Eukaryota
Description: partial 18S ribosomal RNA
Rfam family: Eukaryotic small subunit ribosomal RNA
Source: RNAcentral